GGCUUAUUCACUUGUUUGUGUUGGAUAAGUGAAUUCGGUGCUUGUGGAAGAUGCCAGAUGGGCUGCAUGGGAGCCAGGAAGUCUCUGUCUCUCCACCAAGCAACAGCAGCGUGUGCUUCCCAAAUUGAGCUGCCAGAGUGCCUUAGACCUGAGCCGUAGGUCAAAAGCAUGAACACUGUGAAGACAGGAACCGUGCACUUCCACAGUCCUCUCCUGCUCCUGGGACCAGCGGCCUAUGAGCAAACGGAGCCAUACCCUUUUUCCACAAGUUCCUGCUCUAGAGGGUGCAGAUCUGUAACUUUACUCUCAUGUCGGCAGGGGAUGGAAGUGAGAAGCGAAAACAGAAAAGUGAAGGCAGCCUGGUGCUGUCUGUGGAGCCAGGGCAACCGUGAGUGCUCCUUUGGGCUGCUUCUGGGGAGGGCUUCGGUUUGCACAAGGCAACCCCAUAUGGUCAAGCAAUAAAAUCUGCUUCAGCUUGUUCUUUUUGUCUGCACCGUUAAUGCUUCUGUGCAGCCA
RNAcentral lists this long non-coding RNA (516 nucleotides) under Anser cygnoides (Swan goose). RNAcentral describes it as "lncRNA (ENSACDG00005002472.1)". The record is from RNAcentral. Lineage: Eukaryota; Metazoa; Chordata; Aves; Anseriformes; Anatidae.